RNAcentral lists this ribosomal RNA (497 nucleotides) under uncultured bacterium. RNAcentral describes it as "partial 16S ribosomal RNA". It matches the Rfam family "Bacterial small subunit ribosomal RNA", at positions 28 to 507 of the family's 1533-position model. The record is from RNAcentral.
GAUGAACGCUGGCGGCGUGCCUAAUACAUGCAAGUCGAGCGAACAGACGAGGAGCUUGCUCCUCUGACGUUAGCGGCGGACGGGUGAGUAACACGUGGAUAACCUACCUAUAAGACUGGGAUAACUUCGGGAAACCGGCUCUAAUACCGUAUAAUAUAUUGAACCGCAUUGUUCAAUAGUGAAAGACGGUUUUGCUGUCACUUAUAGAUGGUUCCGAGCCGCAUUAGCUAGUUGGUAAGGUAACGGCUUACCAAGGCAACGAUGCGUAGCCGACCUGAGAGAGUGAUAGGCCACACUGGAACUGAGACACGGUCAAGACUCCUACGGGACGCAGCAGUAGGGAAUCUUCCGCAAUGGUCGAAAGCCUUACGCAACAACGCCGCGUGAGUGAUGAAGGUCUUCCGAUCGUAAAACUCUGUUAUUAGUUAAGAACAAAUUUGUAAGUAAAUAUACACUUCUUGACGGUACCUAAUCAGAAAGCCACGGCUAACUACGUG